GACGAACGCUGGCGGCGUGCUUAACACAUGCCAGUCGAACGGAAAGGCCCUGCUUUUGUGGGGUGCUCGAGUGGCGAACGGGUGAGUAACACGUGAGUAACCUGCCCUUGACUUUGGGAUAACUUCAGGAAACUGGGGCUAAUACCGGAUAGGAGCUCCUGCUGCAUGGUGGGGGUUGGAAAGUUUCGGCGGUUGGGGAUGGACUCGCGGCUUAUCAGCUUGUUGGUGGGGUAGUGGCUUACCAAGGCUUUGACGGGUAGCCGGCCUGAGAGGGUGACCGGCCACAUUGGGACUGAGAUACGGCCCAGACUCCUACGGGAGGCAGCAGUGGGGAAUAUUGCACAAUGGGCGGAAGCCUGAUGCAGCAACGCCGCGUGCGGGAUGACGGCCUUCGGGUUGUAAACCGCUUUCGCCUGUGACGAAGCGUGUGUGACGGUAAUGGGUAAAGAAGCACCGGCUAACUACGUG
Molecule: ribosomal RNA, 468 nt
Filed under: uncultured bacterium
Lineage: Bacteria
Description: partial 16S ribosomal RNA
Rfam family: Bacterial small subunit ribosomal RNA
Source: RNAcentral